UUGCAGCCAUACCAUGUUGAAAUACCAGUUCUUAUCCAAUCACUGAAGUUAAAGAACAUAGAGCCUGAUCAGUACCUAGAUGGGUCACGUAUUGAGAAUUUCAGGUGCUGUAA
Molecule: non-coding RNA, 113 nt
Organism: Acanthosepion pharaonis
Lineage: Eukaryota; Metazoa; Mollusca; Cephalopoda; Sepiida; Sepiidae
Source: the annotation of a GenBank genome assembly